Non-coding RNA from Pelobates cultripes (western spadefoot toad), 231 nucleotides. Lineage: Eukaryota; Metazoa; Chordata; Amphibia; Anura; Pelobatidae. The record is from the annotation of a GenBank genome assembly.
CUCCAGUAUGUGAUUAAAGUUCAAUUUAGAGAUUGAGAUACAAUUGUUUAAGGUAAAUUACAUCUGUUUGAAAGUGAAACCAGUGUUUGUUUUUCAUGCAGGCUCUGUCAAUCAUAGCCAGGGGAGGUGUGGCUAGGGCUGCAUAAACAGAAACAAAGUGAUUUAACUCCUAAAUGACAGUGAACUGAGCAGCGAAAUUGCAGGGGAAUGAUCUAUACACUAAAACAGCUU